RNAcentral lists this non-coding RNA (146 nucleotides) under Anopheles gambiae (African malaria mosquito). RNAcentral describes it as "Eukaryotic small subunit ribosomal RNA". It matches the Rfam family "Eukaryotic small subunit ribosomal RNA", at positions 1 to 142 of the family's 1831-position model. The record is from Rfam by way of RNAcentral. Lineage: Eukaryota; Metazoa; Arthropoda; Insecta; Diptera; Culicidae.
AUUCUGGUUGAUCCUACCAGUGAUAUACGCUCGUCUCAAAGGUUAAGCCAUGCAUGUCUAAGUACAAGCUUCCUAGAAAGUGAAACCGCAUAAGGCUCAGUAUAACAGCUAUAAUUUACAAGAUCCUCAUCCAAACAGUUACUUGG